UCUCAAAAUAUUCUGUUAAGUACUAUUUGUCAACGUAUAAACACAUGUUCAGUCCAAACUUACGAUAUCAAAGAUUGAAUUUAACCCGGAUUUUUUAGUGAAACCAUUUGAAAUCAUUGAUUUUAAAGGUGGGUAGUUCUGUUCUGUCAUUCUCUAUUCAUAACUUGUGUUUACACGAAUCUUCAAACUGUGCAUAUUUAUGUGGGUUUCAUUGGUGAACCAGUGGCGCAUGGAAGCUAAAUAUACUAUAAAUGGCAGUUGGUAAGUGGGAAUGGUCAAUUAUUUAUGGUUUGUUUUUGGUUUGCAAAAUAAUCAAAAUGUUAGUUUGACAGACGACAACAACAACAACUCGUUAUAGUUUGUUUCAAGACAUAUAGAAAAUAGAAUAAAAGAAUCAUUUUGAUUUUGUUUGAUGAUACAAACUGGAGCAUAUUAUGAUCUGUUUGUUGGAUGAUUUUAACAUAAUGUUUUAACUGAAAAUUGUUUUAUGGUACUAGAAAAGGGUAUUGCAGUUUUUCCUUGAGUACCUAUACUUUCGGAUAAAAUUUAUUUCGGAUGUAAUAUUUGGCUACUGUAGUAUUAUGUUUUUUCUUAUGUUUAAAAAAAUGAGACAUGCUGGGCAGUUUUCCUGAUUUUAUUUUGUUAUAAGUUAUACAUUAAAAUAAUGUAUGUGUCAUUAGGAUAAAAAUAGAGCUGCAUUUGGCAACAUAGUAAAGAUUGAACGAUUUUUUUUUUGAGAUACCAAGGAGACGCCCCGGUACAUCCCGGAACUAAGGGCUGGAUACACAACCGGUAGGGGGCACAUGAGUCUAACGACUAGAGUCUCCGAAAGGAGGUACAUCAGAUAGAUACACAAUGGAGUGUUUCAUAUGAUAAAUUACGUUUUAAUUUUAUUAAUUACUUUGUAUAUUUCAGAAGCUGUGUGUUCACUGUUGGCACAUUGAAUGAUUGGAUAAAUAAUGCUCUAUUGGAUAAAUACGUAAAGUUCAUUGGACAGCUGUGAUUGUGGUGUGGACAGCUAAGAUUGUGUUUUGGACAGCUGAGAUUGUGACUUGGACAGCUGAGAUUGUGGUGUGGACAGCUGAGAUUGGUGUGGACAGCUGAGAUUGUGGUGUUGACAUCUGAAAUUGUGAUUUGGACAGCUGAGAUUGUGACUUGGACAGCUGAGAUUGUGCUGUGGACAGCUAAAAUUGUGGUGUGGAAUAAUGAUAUUGUGGUGUUGACAACAUAUUGUGGUGUGCACAUGUGAUAUUGUGGUGUGAUGGUUUAAAGUAGCAAAGGUAAAGAACGUUUGACAGCUUAGAUUUUGGUGUGGACAGCUGAUAUUGUGGUGUGGACAGCUGAGAUUGUCAUGUGGACUACUUAUAUUGUGGCUUGCAGAGCUGAUAUUGUGGUGUGAUGGUUUAAAGUACUAAAGAUUUAUUCCUUACUACCUUCCUGUCAACUAUAUCUUCCACAGCAUGAUUUAAUCUAGUCCCAAUCAUUGACUCUGGUUACCUCACCAGACGGUCCGUCCACAGAGUCACAAGCAACAGAUACUAAAA
Molecule: long non-coding RNA, 1544 nt
Organism: Mercenaria mercenaria
Lineage: Eukaryota; Metazoa; Mollusca; Bivalvia; Venerida; Veneridae
Exons: 4
Source: RefSeq, a predicted model, not a curated record